This 73-nucleotide transfer RNA is filed under the name Chloroflexota bacterium. Its description in RNAcentral is "Chloroflexi bacterium (soil metagenome) tRNA-Val". It matches the Rfam family "tRNA". Rfam says of the family: Transfer RNA (tRNA) molecules are approximately 80 nucleotides in length. Their secondary structure includes four short double-helical elements and three loops (D, anti-codon, and T loops). Further hydrogen bonds mediate the characteristic L-shaped molecular structure. tRNAs have two regions of fundamental functional importance: the anti-codon, which is responsible for specific mRNA codon recognition, and the 3' end, to which the tRNAs corresponding amino acid is attached (by aminoacyl-tRNA synthetases). tRNAs cope with the degeneracy of the genetic code in two manners: having more than one tRNA (with a specific anti-codon) for a particular amino acid; and 'wobble' base-pairing, i.e. permitting non-standard base-pairing at the 3rd anti-codon position. RNAcentral also lists the same sequence under 4 other names. The record is from RNAcentral. Lineage: Bacteria; Bacillati; Chloroflexota.
GGACCCGUGGCUCAGCGGUUAGAGCACUCGGUUCACAUCCGAGGGGUCGCUGGUUCGAAUCCAGCCGGGUCCA